Molecule: long non-coding RNA, 270 nt
Filed under: Malus domestica (apple)
Lineage: Eukaryota; Viridiplantae; Streptophyta; Magnoliopsida; Rosales; Rosaceae
Description: long non-coding RNA (MDOM_LNC001484)
Source: RNAcentral
CCAUUUUGUGUACGUGUUGAUGCUUCACCGCCCAACAUUCUGUGCCAUACAGCAUCGCCGGCCUUAUUGCCGUCCUAUAAAAUUUUCCCUUGAGCUUCAGUGGCAUACGGCGGUCACACAACACGCCAGAUGCACUCUUCCACUUCAUCCAUCCAGCUUGUAUUCUAUGGUUGAGAUCUCCAUCUAAUUCUCCGUUCUUUUGCAAGAUAGAUCCUAGGUAACGAAAACGAUCGCUCUUUGGUAUUUCUUGAUCUCCGAUCCUCACCCCUA